Molecule: ribosomal RNA, 1360 nt
Filed under: Pseudostenophylax fumosus
Lineage: Eukaryota; Metazoa; Arthropoda; Insecta; Trichoptera; Limnephilidae
Description: 16S ribosomal RNA
Source: RNAcentral
UAUUUUUAUCUUAAUUUUUAAUUUUGUAGUGAAUAAAUAUUAUUUAAAAUAAUAAUAACUUUAGAAAUUUUUAUUAAAAAAUAAAAAAAAAUAAAUAUUUAUAGAGAAAUAGUAUAGUAAUAGAAUGAUGAAAUAAUUUAAAUAUUUAAAUUAUAAAAAGUAAAUUUUAUUUAUUGUAUCUUGUGUAUCAGAGAUUAUUAAUAAUAAAAUUUAUAUUAAAUUUUUUUCGAAAUUUAAAGAGUUAAUUAAUUAUUUUAGUUAUUGUUUUAUAAAUAUUAAUAAUAAUUAAUUAGUAAUAAAAUGUUAAUCGAUUUAAAUAAUAUCUAAUUUUUAAAGAAAUAAAUUGAAUUUAGCUGUAUCUAGGGAAAUUUAGAGUUAUAAUUAUUAAAUUUUAUUUUAAACAGCAAUAAUAAAUGGGAUAAGCUUUUUAUUAAAAUAUUAAAUAGUUAGAGAGUUACUUUAAGAUAUAUAAAAAUAAAAUUAUUUAUUGAUUAUAUUUUAUUAUAAAAAAUCUUAGUUUCAUUCAUAUUUUAAUAUGUUAAGUCAUUAAUAAGAUUUAUUUAAACAUAUAUAAUAUUAAUUUUAAUAUAUAGAUAAUGAUAGUAUUAGUAUAAAUUUUAAAUAAUAGAAAUUUUUUAAAGUGAGAUAUUAUUUUUAAGAAUUCGGCAAAAUUUUUGUAUUCGCUUGUUUAACAAAAACAUGUCUUUUUGAUAAAUAAUUUAAAGUCUAAUCUGCCCCCUGAAAUUAUUUUAAAGGGCUGCGGUAUUUUAACCGUACAAAGGUAGCAUAAUAAUUAGGUUUUUAAUUGAAAUCUAGAAUGAAUGAUUGGACGAGAUACAAGCUGUUUUAUAGUAAUUAGUUAAAACUUAAUUUUUUAGUUAAAAAGCUAAAAUUUAAUUAAAAGACGAGAAGACCCUAUAAAUCUUUAUAAUAACUUUAUUUUGAUAAAUUAUUUCAUAAAAAUUGUUUAUCUUUAUUUUUAAUUAUUUUAUUGGGGUGAUAUAAAAAUUUUUAUAACUUUUUAAAGUAAAAAACUUAAAUUAAAGAUUUCAAAACUUUUGAGCUAUUAUUAAUAAUUCAAAGAAUAAGAUACUUUAGGGAUAACAGCGUAAUUUUAAUUUUAAGUUCUCAUUAAAAUUAAAGAUUGCGACCUCGAUGUUGGAUUAAAAUUUAAUUUAAAUGCAAAGGUUUAAAAAUUAAGUCUGUUCGACUUUUGAAAUUUUACAUGAUCUGAGUUCAAACCGGUGUGAGCCAGGUUGGUUUCUAUCUUUAAUAAAAAAAAAUUUUUUAGUACGAAAGGAUCGAGAAUUUUAAAUGAUUUUAUAAGCAUUAUGAUAAAAAUUAAUAAUAGUUUAAAUUA